UACCAGCUCUCCGAGUGGUGUGGAUGUUUAUUGGGCCUAAAGCAUCCGUAGCUGGCUGGACAAGUCCCCUGUUAAAUCCACCGAUUUAAUCGUUGGUGGGCGGGGGAUACUGUUCGGCUAGGGGACGGGAGAGGCCGACGGUAUUUCCGGGGUAGGGGUGAAAUCCUAUAAUCCCGGGAAGACCACCAGUGGCGAAGGCUGUCGGCUAGAACGCGCCCGACGGUGAGGGAUGAAAGCUGGGGGAGCGAACCGGAUUAGAUACCCGGGUAGUCCCAGCUGUAAACGAUGCAGGCUAGGUGUUUGGGCGGCCACGUGCCGCUCUAGUGCCGCAAGGAAGCUGUUAAGCCUGCCGCCUGGGGAGUACGGCCGCAAGGCUGAAACUUAAAGGAAUUGGCGGGGAGCACCACAAGGGGUGAAGCUUGCGGUUU
RNAcentral lists this ribosomal RNA (428 nucleotides) under uncultured archaeon. Its description in RNAcentral is "bacterial SSU rRNA". It matches the Rfam family "Archaeal small subunit ribosomal RNA", at positions 474 to 903 of the family's 1478-position model. The record is from RNAcentral.